GAUGAACGCUGGCGGCGUGCCUAAUACAUGCAAGUCGAGCGAACGGACGAUAAGCUUGCUUCUCUGUUGUUUGCCGCGGACGGGUGAGACACACGAGUAUAACCUACCUAUAAGACUGGUAUAACUUGGGGACACCGGAUCUAAUAGCAUAUAAUCUUCUGAACCGCAUGGUUCAAAAGAGAAAUUCGGUCUUGCUGGCUGUUCUAGAGGGAUCUGGGCUUCAUUAGCUAGUUGGUAAGUUCACGGCUUAUCAAGGCAACGAUGCAUAGCCGACCUGAGAGGGUGAUAGGCCGCACUGGAACUGGGACACGGUCCAGGCUCCUACGAGACGCAGCAGACGGGUAUCGUCCGCAAUAGGCGAAAGCCUGGCGGAGCAGCGCGGAGUCAGUGAUGAAGGUCUUCGGAUCGUGAAACUCUGUUAUUAGUGAAGAACCUAUGUGUAAGUAGAUGUGCAGAUCUUGACGGUACCUAAUAAGAAAGCAACGGCUAACUACGUG
RNAcentral lists this ribosomal RNA (497 nucleotides) under uncultured bacterium. RNAcentral's name for it is "partial 16S ribosomal RNA". It matches the Rfam family "Bacterial small subunit ribosomal RNA", at positions 28 to 507 of the family's 1533-position model. The record is from RNAcentral.